This 224-nucleotide ribosomal RNA is filed under the name uncultured bacterium. RNAcentral's name for it is "partial 16S ribosomal RNA". It matches the Rfam family "Bacterial small subunit ribosomal RNA", at positions 15 to 236 of the family's 1533-position model. The record is from RNAcentral.
GAUCAUGGCUCAGGAUUAACGCUGGCGGCGUGCAUAACACAUUCAAGUCGAACGGAGAGAGGCAGCUUCGGUUGCGUCAAUCAGUGGCGGACGGGUGAGUAACGCGUGAGUAACCUGCCUGUAAGAGGGGGAUAACACCUGGAAACGGGUGCUAAUACCGCAUAAAUCAUAGUUGUCGCAUGGCAGCGAUGUAAAAGAGGAAUUGCUUACAGAUGGACUCGCGU